UCAACUUUUGGGGGAGGACUACAUGUUGUUCAUGCACUGAUGCAUUUGAUGUUUGUGUAAAGGCUUGUAAAGGCAAAUAUAACUUCUAUUUUUGUUUUCACACACAGGCUGCAAUGGUAACAGAGGAGGAUAUUUUUGAUGAUGUUGGUCCCUCUGAUGUUAGAGUCUUAGUGUGAACCCUACACCUCCCUCCGUUCAAUCUACUCCACUGGAUCUAAGUUGCGUGGCAACUACUGUUGUACCAUGGAACGCAACAAGCCCUGAGCGAAUGCUUGAAUCAGACAACUGAAUUUCCGAAUUUUCCUUAUCGGCACAUACAAUUGUAAUUUUACUACUAGCUGUAUUGAAUGAUCAAUAUUAUUUUGUAGUUAUUUGGUCUGCUGACCAGUGCUUAUUGUUACUACUUAGUAAAACCUACUUGUUUUUAUAAUAAACCUUUUAAACAAGCA
This is a long non-coding RNA of Frankliniella occidentalis (western flower thrips), 449 nucleotides long. RefSeq lists it as uncharacterized. The transcript has 2 exons. The record is from RefSeq and is a predicted model, not a curated record. Lineage: Eukaryota; Metazoa; Arthropoda; Insecta; Thysanoptera; Thripidae.